RNAcentral lists this long non-coding RNA (756 nucleotides) under Theobroma cacao (cacao). RNAcentral's name for it is "long non-coding RNA (TCAC_LNC003366)". Lineage: Eukaryota; Viridiplantae; Streptophyta; Magnoliopsida; Malvales; Malvaceae. The record is from RNAcentral.
AGCUAAAAAGAAUUCUCGCUGCAGUGAAAAUGGAUUCUCGCUAUAGUGAGAAACUCUCGGGUGGUCCCAAAAUUCUGGUACAGUAUUUUCACUUUGACGAAGAUUUUGACCACCUUCCGUUCAGAACUGGGAAAAGUAGUAAACAUCAAAGUUGUAGCCCUUCCUCUUAGCUUUCUAAUGGUCUAAAAAUCAGAUCAAUUGGACUUUUGCAGUGGGAUAUAUGCUAGAAAAACUUAAACAUAUGCAAAUUGAGACCGUUUCUCACUACAACGAGAAACUUGCUGCCGUGCUUGCUACCUUGCUUGAUUUUGACCUAUUUUUCACCCAUUUAACUUCAUGGAUUGAUCAUGGGUUUUUGAAACACUAUGAGGUUAUCAAUCAAAGUUUGAAAUAAGAGGUUUUUAGUAAGAAAUUAAAUCAAUUGCAUUGUUUUUGAAACAAGUGCAUCAUGAUUUUCAAAUUCUUCCUAUUGAAUGCUUGUUCCCUUCUUAUGUUUACUCAUUGAGUUUUAUACUCACAUUUUUAAACUUCAUGUUUUUAGAUUUAGAGGCAGCUAGGACCUAGAUUGAGUUAUCCACGUAUGCUUGCUUUCUUGGUAGGUACUAUAACAUCUCAGUAGUUGUACCUUCACCCACGGUCACUCUGUUGACGGUCAAGGGUCUGUUACCUGUGAACAUGCAUAUGUAAUGAAAUCCGCUUGUAUCCAUGUUAUAAGUCAAAUAUGUAUAUUUGAUUACUGAUACCACUAGGAGUUGG